AGUGAACGCUGGCGGUAGGCCUAACACAUGCAAGUCGAACGGCAGCACAGGAGAGCUUGCUCUCUGGGUGGCGAGUGGCGGACGGGUGAGGAAUACAUCGGAAUCUACUCUGUCGUGGGGGAUAACGUAGGGAAACUUACGCUAAUGCCGCAUACGACCUACGGGUGAAAGCAGGGGAUCUUCGGACCUUGCGCGAUUGAAUGAGCCGAUGUCGGAUUAGCUAGUUGGCGGGGUAAAGGCCCACCAAGGCGACGAUCCGUAGCUGGUAUGAGAGGAUGUUCAGCCACACUGGAACUGAGACACGGUCCGGACUCCUACGGGAGGCAGCAGUGGGGAAUAUUGGACAAUGGGCGCAAGCCUGAUCCAGCCAUACCGCGUGGGUGAAGAAGGCCUUCGGGUUGUAAAGCCCUUUUGUUGGGAAAGAAAUCCAGCUGGCUAAUACCCGGUUGGGAUGACGGUACCCAAAGAAUAAGCACCGGCUAACUUCGUGCCAGCAGCCGCCGUAA
RNAcentral lists this ribosomal RNA (506 nucleotides) under uncultured bacterium. Its description in RNAcentral is "partial 16S ribosomal RNA". It matches the Rfam family "Bacterial small subunit ribosomal RNA", at positions 29 to 523 of the family's 1533-position model. The record is from RNAcentral.